GGGGCUAAAGGAGAGACUUUGCUGACCAAAAGAUUUUGAAGAAACAAGAUGUCUGGAUCUAACAAGGGAGUGACUGGAUUGUGCAUCAUGCUAGGAAACGCUGGGCAAAAGAUUGAACUGCUUUGGUUUUCUUGCCUAUACGUGAGCCGAGGAAGAGGUAUAAUGAGUUUCGGUUAAGACUCUGUUGAAAAAUACCCUAUGGAAAUAACUGAAAAUGGAUUUUUUUUAAUCACAAUUUGUACCACCUUACAAGAUUUGAACAGUGAAUUUGCCAGCAAUUAAUACAAUAGGUAGAGAUGACAGAGAAAAUAGUUUUUCAUUUGAUUAACUACAGAUGUCAGUGUGCAUGCAUGCCAAACUGUUCCUCAACUUUGGAAACAAUCUUCCCCUCUAUAGGAAGAGAAAUAACAGCAGGAGAUGGACACUGACUACAGGACCUGGAAGGUGUUUCAGGUUACUUGAAGGCAAAUCCAAGCCAAUCAAUUGUUAGAUACUUAGUAGUUGUUAAUUGCAUCACUUUCUGUCACAGCACAGCUGUGCUGCUGUAAUUUGGUUUCUGCUGCACAAAACCUGUGCUUAUUUAUAGCUUGUAUAAUUGCACACUAGAAUGGCUUUAGAUAGUGAGGAGAUUAAUCAAUCAGUAGUGGCUAGCACUUUCUUAAGCAGACAAAAAAGAUCCAACGGUCCAGGGUGGACCUUUGAGACACUGAAAGAACCUAACUGCCAUGGACCAUGGCGGAAAAAUUUGGAGGGAAUUCUAAGGUGCAGAGGACAUCUCUUUGCUGUGGACAUCUCUGUGUUAUGGAUGCACUCAGUACUUCUAGUGAGUUUUCUCCAAAAUCAAGCACGCCAUCUGUGCCCUGUUUGGAUAUAGACAUUAUUUUUAAUUCCUUUCUGUUAGGUGUCACUCAGCACCUGCAAAUGUAUUCUCAUCUUUGAUGUGUGAUCGCUUGAUUAUUCAAGCUCUCUCAUCAAACUUAACUUGUAGUUGUUGCACCUGUACUGACAGCAUCUGUUCUGCCUGUGCUACAGGAUGGCCUCCAAACCAAACUCCUUGCAGGUCUGGUCUCCCAUGGCCUUGCUGCGUAUGCUACUUUGAAAAUGUGUGUGUACAAUGUUAACCUGUCACAAUUCUCCUCUGUCACAUACCUAUUUUAUACACAGAGGUUCUAAUGGAGAACUCAUUUUUGGAUUGCUGAUGUGCUCUCUUGAAAUGACUCAGGGUGAUUCCUUUGGAGCAUCCCUUUAGACCUGGAUUGGUUGAUGUAAAGAAAAAUAAUGGCAGUGUUGCAAGGGCUUUGCUGUACAGCUCCUUUCAGAUAAGUCGUGUGGGUUCCUGCCUGGCUAGCUUGAUCAUGUCUCUCUUUUUCACAUGACGUGAGUGUUUCAGAAAGAUCUCUAUACUAGGGACAAAAAAAAACUUGAAAACUCUUGAAAAUCUGAAACAGUUUUACUCCAAUUAGGUGGGAGGAGAUCAGAGUUUUAGGCUGAAAUGAAGUACAAUCCCUUUGAAGUGCUGAAUAAAUAGUAGCAGCCUUCAGAAGGAAGAGAACUGACAAUGUCUGAGUUUUACUGAGAUGUAAAAUAAAAUUUAUUAGCUACGGCAGAAAAGGUGAUGUGUUGCUUUGUUUUUAAUUCCUGCUCUCAUCCCUUCCUGCAGACUUCCAACCUUCCAUAACCUACGAUUUUUUUUUUUUUUAAUAUGAUGACAAACACUUUGACUUGUUUAAUUGGAUGCUAUGUAACUAAUUCACUCUGUGCGACUCUUAGAAAAUAUGGCAGAAUUACCGGGAUGGACUUUGAUCUUAAGUCUAUCUUAAGAUCAAGACUGCCCAAGUAAGUGGAGGUACCACUGCCAAUGACUAAUACUACAGUGAAUAAUUUAAUAUACUUGUACAACUACAUUUAUUUCUGGUCCCCAAAGCAUAGUGUAUAGAAACAGAGGCUUUUGUAUACUUGGAGUGCAUAAUAAAGUAUGGUAAAACAGAGCAACUAAUAGGAAGAAAAAUGUAUGUAUGUGUGGGCAAACCUUGAUUUUGCCAAAAGAAUGUAACUUGCUGCUGUUUUAAUUUGUGAUGUGAAUACAGCAAAUCUGCAAUUAAGCCUUCUAGCAGGUCUGUGGGAUUGGUAAUUGUUUUGUAAUCCUUCCUUGGAACGCAAUAAAUGCAAACAGUAAU
RNAcentral lists this long non-coding RNA (2177 nucleotides) under Gallus gallus (chicken). RNAcentral describes it as "lncRNA (ENSGALG00010005691.1)". The record is from RNAcentral. Lineage: Eukaryota; Metazoa; Chordata; Aves; Galliformes; Phasianidae.